This 301-nucleotide ribosomal RNA is filed under the name uncultured bacterium. Its description in RNAcentral is "partial 16S ribosomal RNA". It matches the Rfam family "Bacterial small subunit ribosomal RNA", at positions 509 to 807 of the family's 1533-position model. The record is from RNAcentral.
CAGUCGCCGCGGGAAUACGUAGGUGGCAAGCGUUGUCCGGAAUUAUUGGGCGUAAAGCGCGCGCAGGUGGUUUAAUAAGUCUGAUGUGAAAGCCCACGGCUCAACCGUGGAGGGUCAUUGGAAACUGUUAAACUUGAGUGCAGGAGAGAAAAGUGGAAUUCCUAGUGUAGCGGUGAAAUGCGUAGAGAUUAGGAGGAACACCAGUGGCGAAGGCGGCUUUUUGGCCUGUAACCGACACUGAGGCGCGAAAGCGUGGGGAGCAAACAGGAUUAGAUACCCCAGUAGUCCCUGUCUCUUAUAC